This is a long non-coding RNA of Onychostoma macrolepis, 1124 nucleotides long. RefSeq lists it as uncharacterized. Lineage: Eukaryota; Metazoa; Chordata; Actinopteri; Cypriniformes; Cyprinidae. The record is from RefSeq and is a predicted model, not a curated record. The transcript has 5 exons.
UGCUUUUAAUAUGCCUUUGUAUAGCCCUAUUAAUAAAUUCACAUCAAUUACACCCAUACAGCACUGUUAAAUAUGUUGAAAUAUAUUUUGAAAAUAUAUUUUAAAAAUACAUAAAACAAAGUUAAAAAAUUGUUCCUCACGAUACAUGUGUAAAUAUGUGUACGAAAAAAUAAAUUCCUAUGCCCUAGAUUUUAAUGAAUGUUUUUUCAAUGUUGUUUCUACACCACGUUUACCAUUUCUAAAGCUAUUAUAUUAUAUUAUAUUAUUUACGUAAAAUUCUGCGUGACUUCUACGUGCUUUAAUGGACGAGCGCGCGCUGAACUGGAGUGGAGGAAGUCACCAUGGAAACGGGGCGGCAGCUCAACUGUCAAGCAGCAACUUCGUCUUUCACUGUUGUUUUUACUAAUUUCAGAAGCGUCAGAAAAAACCCUCUAUUACACAGAAGUUCCUGAUUUUAACAUUUCUGAAGGGAGCUGCUGACAGAGAAAUACACAUCACAGAUUCUUCCAUGCUGACGGCCGUGCACAAGAGUUAGAGCGUAUCUCCUGUCGAAGAACAUCUCUAGACAUUAUGAACCAUCUGUCUAAGACUGAAAAUCAUCAAUAAACCAAAAGUUUGGUUUAGCUCCAACCCCAAUUAAGCAGACCUGAGCAGCUGAUCAAGGAUCACCAGAAACUCUGCAGAAGGUUGGUCCUCCAUGCCCAGGACUGGACACCAGUGUUGUGAGUCAUCUAUCUAGAAGUCAUCCUGCCUCUCUGAAUUGUCAUGUUCAGAAUAGAUUGCAGGAGAUCUCAACAUUGUCUCUCAAGGUCCACUUACAUGCAGAGUUUUGCUCCAACAUAGUGCAGUGCACCUGAACAAACUAAUCAAGUUUUUCAGUUUUACUAACUAUAAAGUCACAAACAGGUGAGUGUGAUGAGGUGUGGACCUAAACUCUGGGUGUCAAUCACUCAGGUCCCUUGCUCAGUAGUCAGUGGUUAAGGGCUGUCUCAGUCACAAAAUUUAGUUUGCUCCCUAAAAAAAUAUGCAAUAUUUGACUCAUAUUCAACGAUGCUAUUAUCUUUUUUCCCCUUUUGUUUGUGUGUCAAUCACAGCUAAAUAAAACCAAAGGCCAUUCAGCCACA